Malaclemys terrapin pileata is the source of this 393-nucleotide long non-coding RNA. RefSeq lists it as uncharacterized. The record is from RefSeq and is a predicted model, not a curated record. Lineage: Eukaryota; Metazoa; Chordata; Testudines; Emydidae. The transcript is spliced from 3 exons.
CUCAGAAGAGAAAGUAAAAACUACGAAAGGAAAUCAGGACCAUCAUGCCAGAGCAAGGGAUCAAAAAGUGAAAAUGUCUGGAGAAAGAUAUGGAAACCCAGUUGAACGAUUUAUAACAUUCCUCAAUUUGAAAAGCCACACGAGUGAAGAAAUGGCAAAUCAGAAUUGGUGCAGCAAGUGAAGUAGCAGUACAAGCUUCCCUGUGCCAACAAAAUCCUGAGCUUAUCUAAUGAGGCAACCAACUAAGGUGCCAACUGGUACAAAGGUGAUGUGUUUGUGAUGUGGCCAUGUCUCCAUUGGGAUCGAGACUGAAAUUGCUGACUCAUUUAGCACAUACCAUCCCACAGUCAGCAGAUGGUAAUAUCUUUCAGUCAUUAUUAAUCUGAGCUAGAU